GCUACGUGGGGCAGCAGUGAGGAAUAUUGGUCAAUGGACGAGAGUCUGAACCAGCCAAGUAGCGUGAAGGAUGACUGCCCUAUGGGUUGCAAACUUCUUUUAUAAAUGAAUAAAACGAGGCACGUGUGCCUUUUUGCAUGUACUUUAUGAAUAAGGAUCGGCUAACUCCGUGCCAUCAGCCGCGGUAAUACGGAGGAUCCGAGCGUUAUCCGUAUUUCUUGGGUUUAAAGGGAGCGUAGAUGGGUUGUUAAGUCAGUUGUGAAAGUUUGCGGAUCAAACGUAAAAUUGCAAUUGAUACUGGCAGUCUUGAGUACAGGUGAGGUAGGCGGAAUUCGUGGUGUAGCGGUGAAAU
Molecule: ribosomal RNA, 352 nt
Filed under: uncultured bacterium
Lineage: Bacteria
Description: partial 16S ribosomal RNA
Rfam family: Bacterial small subunit ribosomal RNA
Source: RNAcentral